CUUCUUGCCUGGGGGAGGGCGGCGAAUACUUACAGGAUAGCGCGGUGCGAUCCGGCCUUAGGGAGCAAACCAGCGUGAAGGUUCUAAAACGAAGGCUACGCACGUAGAAGCUCCAGCGGAAGGUUUUCGGACGCGGGUUCAAUUCCCGCCGCCUCCACCA
This 160-nucleotide transfer-messenger RNA is filed under the name Calditrichota bacterium. RNAcentral describes it as "Calditrichaeota bacterium partial transfer-messenger RNA". It matches the Rfam family "transfer-messenger RNA", at positions 211 to 374 of the family's 374-position model. Rfam says of the family: Bacterial tmRNA, also known as 10Sa RNA or SsrA, is named for its dual tRNA and mRNA-like properties. Lineage: Bacteria; Pseudomonadati; Calditrichota. The record is from RNAcentral.